AGCAGCCGCGGUAAUUCCAGCUCCAAUAGCGUAUAUUAAAGUUGUUGCAGUUAAAAGCUCGUAGUUGAACCUUAGGCUCGCGCGGGCGGUCCGUCCUCAGGGCGAGUACUGCUUCGUCGCGGGUCUCACCUUCUGGCGAGCGUGGAUGCCAUUUAUUUGGUGUCCGCGGGAACCAGGACCUUUACCUUGAAAAAUUAGAGUGCUCAAAGCGGGCUCUGCGCUUGAAUACAUUAGCAUGGAAUAAUGAAAUAGGACGAUGGUUCUAUUUUGUUGGUUUCCGGGACCGUCGUAAUGAUUAAUAGGGAUAGUUGGGGGCAUUCGUAUUCAAUUGUCAGAGGUGAAAUUCUUGGAUUUAUUGAAGACGGACUACUG
This 372-nucleotide ribosomal RNA is filed under the name uncultured Glomeromycotina. RNAcentral's name for it is "SSU rRNA". It matches the Rfam family "Eukaryotic small subunit ribosomal RNA", at positions 569 to 945 of the family's 1831-position model. Lineage: Eukaryota; Fungi; Glomeromycota. The record is from RNAcentral.